Long non-coding RNA from Pecten maximus, 140 nucleotides. RefSeq lists it as uncharacterized. The transcript is spliced from 2 exons. The record is from RefSeq and is a predicted model, not a curated record. NCBI's taxonomy places the organism in Eukaryota, Metazoa, Mollusca, Bivalvia, Pectinida, Pectinidae.
AGGAGAGUGACGAGGAGAGUGACAAGGAGAGUGACAGGGGUGAUGAAGAGGAGGCAUCGGCCUCCUCCCGCUACAGUCUACGCUCGAAGAACACCUGCUGAUUCUUCCAUCAAUAUCACUAAAAUUCUAAAUUUGAAGAA